This 598-nucleotide ribosomal RNA is filed under the name Alternaria obovoidea. Its description in RNAcentral is "eukaryotic LSU rRNA". The stretch from base 227 to 380 matches the Rfam family "5.8S ribosomal RNA". Lineage: Eukaryota; Fungi; Ascomycota; Dothideomycetes; Pleosporales; Pleosporaceae. The record is from RNAcentral.
UCCGUAGGUGAACCUGCGGAGGGAUCAUUACACAAUAUGAAAGCGGGCUGGACUCCCCCCAGCAGUGCGUUGCUUUGCGGCGUGCGCUGUUGGGGCCAGCCUUGCUGAAUUAUUCACCCGUGUCUUUUGCGUACUUCUUGUUUCCUUGGUGGGUUCGCCCACCACAAGGACAAACCAUAAACCUUUUGUAAUUGCAAUCAGCGUCAGUAACAAUAAUAAUAAUUACAACUUUCAACAACGGAUCUCUUGGUUCUGGCAUCGAUGAAGAACGCAGCGAAAUGCGAUAAGUAGUGUGAAUUGCAGAAUUCAGUGAAUCAUCGAAUCUUUGAACGCACAUUGCGCCCUUUGGUAUUCCAAAGGGCAUGCCUGUUCGAGCGUCAUUUGUACCCUCAAGCUUUGCUUGGUGUUGGGCGUCUUGUCUCCAGUUCGCUGGGGACUCGCCUUAAAGUUAUUGGCAGCCGGCCUACUGGUUUCGGAGCGCAGCACAAGUCGCGCUCUCUUCCAGCCAAGGUCAGCAUCCACAAAGCCUUUUUUCAACUUUUGACCUCGGAUCAGGUAGGGAUACCCGCUGAACUUAAGCAUAUCAAUAAGCGGAGGA